UAGGGAAUCUUCCGCAAUGGGCGAAAGCCUGACGGAGCAACACCGCGUGAGUGAUGAAGGUCUUCGGAUCGUAAAACUCUGUUAUUAGGGAAGAACAAAUGUGUAAGUAACUAUGCACGUCUUGACGGUACCUAAUCAGAAAGCCACGGCUAACUACGUGCCAGCAGCCGCGGUAAUACGUAGGUGGCAAGCGUUAUCCGGAAUUAUUGGGCGUAAAGCGCGCGUAGGCGGUUUUUUAAGUCUGAUGUGAAAGCCCACGGCUCAACCGUGGAGGGUCAUUGGAAACUGGAAAACUUGAGUGCAGAAGAGGAAAGUGGAAUUCCAUGUGUAGCGGUGAAAUGCGCAGAGAUAUGGAGGAACACCAGUGGCGAAGGCGACUUUCUGGUCUGUAACUGACGCUGAUGUGCGAAAGCGUGGGGAUCAAACAGG
This 429-nucleotide ribosomal RNA is filed under the name Actinomycetes bacterium. RNAcentral describes it as "Actinobacteria bacterium partial 16S ribosomal RNA". It matches the Rfam family "Bacterial small subunit ribosomal RNA", at positions 355 to 776 of the family's 1533-position model. Lineage: Bacteria; Bacillati; Actinomycetota; Actinomycetes. The record is from RNAcentral.